This 394-nucleotide ribosomal RNA is filed under the name uncultured bacterium. RNAcentral's name for it is "bacterial SSU rRNA". It matches the Rfam family "Bacterial small subunit ribosomal RNA", at positions 335 to 722 of the family's 1533-position model. The record is from RNAcentral.
ACUCCUACGGGAGGCAGCAGUGGGAAUAUUGCACAAUGGGGGAAACCCUGAUGCAGCCAUGCCGCGUGUGUGAGAAGGCGCUUCGGGUUGUAAAGCACUUUCAGUAGGGAGGAAGGUAGUGUAGUUAACACCUGCAUUAUUUGACGUUACCUACAGAAGAAGCACCGGCUAACUCCGUGCCAGCAGCCGCGGUAAUACGGAGGGUGCGAGCGUUAAUCGGAAUUACUGGGCGUAAAGCGCAUGCAGGCGGCCUGUUAAGUCAGAUGUGAAAGCCCGGGGCUUAACCUCGGAAUUGCAUUUGAAACUGGCAGGCUAGAGUCUUGUAGAGGGGGGUAGAAUUUCAGGUGUAGCGGUGAAAUGCGUAGAGAUCUGAAGGAAUACCAGUGGCGAAGGC